This 503-nucleotide ribosomal RNA is filed under the name uncultured bacterium. RNAcentral's name for it is "bacterial SSU rRNA". It matches the Rfam family "Bacterial small subunit ribosomal RNA", at positions 24 to 518 of the family's 1533-position model. The record is from RNAcentral.
UCAGGAUGAACGCUAGCUACAGGCUUAACACAUGCAAGUCGAGGGCAGCAUGAAGUUUGCUUGCAAACUUGAUGGCGACCGGCGCACGGGUGAGUAACGCGUAUCCAACCUUCCCUAUACUAGAGGAUAGCCCGGCGAAAGUCGGAUUAAUACUCUAUAUUCUUCGUAGAAGACAUCUGAAAUGAAGCAAAGGUUUACCGGUAUAGGAUGGGGAUGCGUCUGAUUAGGUUGUUGGCGGGGUAACGGCCCACCAAGCCCACGAUCAGUAGGGGUUCUGAGAGGAAGGUCCCCCACAUUGGAACUGAGACACGGUCCAAACUCCUACGGGAGGCAGCAGUGAGGAAUAUUGGUCAAUGGACGAGAGUCUGAACCAGCCAAGUAGCGUGCAGGAUGACGGCCCUAUGGGUUGUAAACUGCUUUUAUACAGGGAUAAAGUGACGUACGUGUACGUUUUUGUAGGUACUGUAUGAAUAAGGACCGGCUAAUUCCGUGCCAGCAGCUGC